This 367-nucleotide ribosomal RNA is filed under the name Bos taurus (domestic cattle). RNAcentral's name for it is "partial large subunit ribosomal RNA". The stretch from base 236 to 367 matches the Rfam family "Bacterial large subunit ribosomal RNA", at positions 2473 to 2605 of the family's 2925-position model. Lineage: Eukaryota; Metazoa; Chordata; Mammalia; Artiodactyla; Bovidae. The record is from RNAcentral.
UAAAAGAAUGGAAUAUCAAAGAAUAACUUUCUUAAAAUUAAAAAUUGAAAUUUUUUUAAUUUGUGUAAAAACAAUUAUAUAAAUUAAAGACAAGAAGACCCUAAGAAUUUUUAAAAUUUAAAUUAACACAUUUUUGUUUUAAUUAAAUUUUAACUGGGGCGGUUAAAAAAUAUUAAAAACUUUUUAAUUUUGAAAAUGACCCAUUAUUAAUGAAAAUAUGAUAAAAUACUCUAGGGAUAACAGCGUUAUAUUUUUUGAUAGAUCAUAUUGACAAAAAAGUUUGCGACCUCGAUGUUGGAUUAGGAUACUUUUUUAAUGAAGAUAUUAAAAUAAGAAGUUUGUUCAACUUUUAAAUUCCUACUUGAUC